CUUAGUGGCGGACGGGUGAGUAACGCGUGGGGAACCCGCCCUGUACAGGGGGAUAACACUUAGAAAUAGGUGCUAAUACCGCAUAAGCGCACAGUAUCGCAUGAUACAGUGUGAAAAACUCCGGUGGUACAGGAUGGACCCGCGUCUGAUUAGCUGGUUGGCGGGUAACGCCCACCAAGGCGACGAUCAGUAGCCGGCCUGAGAGGGUGAACGGCCACAUUGGGACUGAGACACGGCCCAAACUCCUACGGGAGGCAGCAG
Molecule: ribosomal RNA, 261 nt
Filed under: uncultured bacterium
Lineage: Bacteria
Description: partial 16S ribosomal RNA
Rfam family: Bacterial small subunit ribosomal RNA
Source: RNAcentral